UACAGAGGGGGCAAGCGUUGUUCGGAAUUACUGGGCGUAAAGGGCGCGUAGGCGGCCUGUUAAGUCGGACGUGAAAUCCCUCGGCUCAACCGGGGAACUGCGUCCGAUACUGGCGGGCUUGAAUUCGGGAGAGGGAUGUGGAAUUCCAGGUGUAGCGGUGAAAUGCGUAGAUAUUGGGAAGAACACCAGUGGCGAAGGCGGUUCUCUGGGACGGUACUGACGCUGAGACGCGAAAGCGUGGGGAGCGAACAGG
This 253-nucleotide ribosomal RNA is filed under the name uncultured bacterium. RNAcentral describes it as "partial 16S ribosomal RNA". It matches the Rfam family "Bacterial small subunit ribosomal RNA", at positions 524 to 776 of the family's 1533-position model. The record is from RNAcentral.